UAUGGCAGAUUAGUGCAUUGG
This 21-nucleotide transfer RNA is filed under the name Diabrotica barberi (northern corn rootworm). RNAcentral describes it as "partial tRNA-Leu". Lineage: Eukaryota; Metazoa; Arthropoda; Insecta; Coleoptera; Chrysomelidae. The record is from RNAcentral. RNAcentral also lists the same sequence under 37 other names.